UACAGAGGUCUCAAGCGUUGUUCGGAUUCAUUGGGCGUAAAGGGUGCGUAGGCGGCGGGGCAAGUCGGAUGUGAAAUCUCAGGGCUCAACCCUGAAACUGCAUUCGAUACUGCCUUGCUCGAGGACUGGAGAGGAGAUUGGAAUUCACGGUGUAGCAAUGAAAUGCGUAGAUAUCGUGAGGAAGACCAGUGGCGAAGGCGGAUCUCUGGACAGUUCCUGACGCUGAGGCACGAAGGCCAGGGGAGCAAACGGG
Molecule: ribosomal RNA, 253 nt
Filed under: uncultured bacterium
Lineage: Bacteria
Description: partial 16S ribosomal RNA
Rfam family: Bacterial small subunit ribosomal RNA
Source: RNAcentral